RNAcentral lists this ribosomal RNA (490 nucleotides) under uncultured bacterium. RNAcentral describes it as "partial 16S ribosomal RNA". It matches the Rfam family "Bacterial small subunit ribosomal RNA", at positions 30 to 507 of the family's 1533-position model. The record is from RNAcentral.
AUUGAACGCUGGCGGCAGGCCUAACACAUGCAAGUCGAACGGUAACAGGAAGAAGCUUGCUUCUUUGCUGACGAGUGGCGGACGGGUGAGUAAUGUCUGGGAAACUGCCUGAUGGAGGGGGAUAACUACUGGAAACGGUAGCUAAUACAGCAUAACGUCGCAAGACCAAAAAGGGGGAGAUUCUGGCCUCUUGCCAUCGGAUAUGCCCAGAUGGGAUUAGCUAGUAGGUGGGGUAACGGCUCACCUAGGCGACGAUCCCUAGCUGGUCUGAGAGGAUGACCAGCCACACUAGAACUGAGACACGGUCCAGACUCCUACGGGAGGCAGCAGUGGGGAAUAUUGCACAAUGGGCGCAAGCCUGAUGCAGCCAUGCCGCGUGUAUGAAGAAGGCCUUCGGGUUGUAAAGUACUUUCAGCGGGGAGGAAGGGAGUAAAGUUAAUACCUUGGCUCAUUGACGUUACCCGCAGAAGAAGCACCGGCUAACUCCGUG